UACCUGCAGCUCGAGUGGUGGCCGCUAUUAUUGGGCCUAAAACGUCCGUAGCCGGUUUAAUAAAUGCCUGGGUAAAUCGUGUAGCUUAACUAUACGAAUUCCGGGUAGACUGUUAGACUUGAGACCGGGAGAAGCUAGAGGUACUCCUGGGGUAGAGGUGAAAUUCUGUAAUCCUAGGGGGACCACCAGUGGCGAAGGCGUCUAGCUAGAACGGGUCUGACGGUGAGGGACGAAGCCCUGGGGCGCAAACCGGAUUGGAUACCCGGGUAGUCCAGGGUGUAAACGCUGCUUGCUUGAUGUUAGUUGGGCUCUGAGCCCAAUUAGUGUCGGAGAGAAGUUGUUAAGCAAGCUGCCUGGGAAGUACGGUCGCAAGGCUGAAACUUAAAGGAAUUGGCGGGGGAGCACCACAAGGGGUGAAGCUUGCGGUUU
This 429-nucleotide ribosomal RNA is filed under the name uncultured archaeon. Its description in RNAcentral is "bacterial SSU rRNA". It matches the Rfam family "Archaeal small subunit ribosomal RNA", at positions 474 to 903 of the family's 1478-position model. The record is from RNAcentral.